This 461-nucleotide ribosomal RNA is filed under the name uncultured bacterium. RNAcentral describes it as "partial 16S ribosomal RNA". It matches the Rfam family "Bacterial small subunit ribosomal RNA", at positions 338 to 795 of the family's 1533-position model. The record is from RNAcentral.
CCUACGGGUGGCAGCAGUGAGGAAUAUUGGUCAAUGGGCGCGAGUCUGAACCAGCCAAGUCGCGUGAGGGAGGACGGCCCUACGGGUUGUAAACCUCUUUUGCCGGGGAGCAACGGGCCCCACGUGUGGCGUCACUGAGAGUACCCGGAGAAAAAGCAUCGGCUAACUCCGUGCCAGCAGCCGCGGUAAUACGGAGGUUUCAAGCGUUAUCCGGAUUUAUUGGGUUUAAAGGGUCCGUAGGCGGUCGGAUAAGUUAGAGGUUAAAUCCCGAGGCUCAACUUCCGAAUUGCCGCUGAUACUGUUCGGCUAGAGAGUAGUUGCGGUAGGCGGAAUGUAUGGUGUAGCGGUGAAAUGCUUAGAGAUCAUACAGAACACCGAUUGCGAAGGCAGCUUACCAAGCUACGUCUGACGUUGAGGCACGAAAGCGUGGGGAGCAAACAGGAUUAGAUACCCCUGUAGUC